GGAGGGAUCAUUACACAAAUAUGAAGGCGGGCUGGAACCUCUCGGGGUUACAGCCUUGCUGAAUUAUUCACCCUUGUCUUUUGCGUACUUCUUGUUUCCUUGGUGGGUUCGCCCACCACUAGGACAAACAUAAACCUUUUGUAAUUGCAAUCAGCGUCAGUAACAAAUUAAUAAUUACAACUUUCAACAACGGAUCUCUUGGUUCUGGCAUCGAUGAAGAACGCAGCGAAAUGCGAUAAGUAGUGUGAAUUGCAGAAUUCAGUGAAUCAUCGAAUCUUUGAACGCACAUUGCGCCCUUUGGUAUUCCAAAGGGCAUGCCUGUUCGAGCGUCAUUUGUACCCUCAAGCUUUGCUUGGUGUUGGGCGUCUUGUCUCUAGCUUUGCUGGAGACUCGCCUUAAAGUAAUUGGCAGCCGGCCUACUGGUUUCGGAGCGCAGCACAAGUCGCACUCUCUAUCAGCAAAGGUCUAGCAUCCAUUAAGCCUUUUUUUCAACUUUUGACCUCGGAUCAGGUAGGGAUACCCGCUGAACUUAAGCAUAUCAAUA
This 544-nucleotide ribosomal RNA is filed under the name Alternaria alternata. RNAcentral describes it as "eukaryotic LSU rRNA". The stretch from base 179 to 332 matches the Rfam family "5.8S ribosomal RNA". The record is from RNAcentral. Lineage: Eukaryota; Fungi; Ascomycota; Dothideomycetes; Pleosporales; Pleosporaceae.